AUGCAGCGGUCUGGGCGGGGUCUGCAGCGGUCGGGUUCGAAGCGUGUGCUCGACCCCACCAACGGCACUGGCGGCGGCGGCGGCGACGACGACCAUGCGGCCAAACGGCCUCGCGUGCCCGCCCUUGCAAGUGUCAUUGUGGAAGCACUAAAAGUCGACAGUCUGCAGAAGCUUUGUUCAUCGCUGGAGCCUAUUCUUCGAAGAGUUGUAAGCGAAGAGGUAGAGCGUGCUUUGGCCAAGUUGGGUCCUGCUAGAAUUGAAGGAAGGUCCUCUCCCAAAAGAAUAGAAGGCCCUGAUGGGACAAAUCUUCAGCUUCAAUUUAGAAGCAGGUUGUCUCUCCCACUCUUUACUGGUGGAAAAGUAGAAGGCGAGCAGGGGGCAGCUAUACAUGUUGUGCUGCUGGAUACCAACACUGGUUGUGUUGUCACUUCGGGACCUGAAUCAUGUGCAAAGCUGGAUGUUCUUGUGCUUGAGGGUGACUUCAAUAAAGAGGAAGAUGAGGGUUGGACAGAAGAGGAGUUUGAAGGCCAUAUUGUCAAGGAGCGCGAAGGGAAAAGACCUCUCUUGACUGGUGACCUUCAGGUGACUCUUAAAGAAGGUGUUGGAACCAUAGGGGAGCUUAUCUUCACUGACAACUCCAGCUGGAUAAGAAGCAGGAAAUUCAGACUUGGGCUCAGGGUUGCCUCUGUUUUUUCUGAAGGUAUUCGUGUUAGGGAGGCGAAGACAGAAGCUUUUACUGUUAAGGAUCAUAGAGGGGAAUUGUACAAAAAACACUACCCUCCUGCUUUGAAGGAUGAUGUUUGGAGAUUAGAGAAGGUUGGCAAGGAUGGUGCAUUCCACAAGAAGUUAAAUGGAAGCGGAAUCUAUACAGUUGAAGAUUUUCUUCGGCUUCUUGUUAGGGAUCAACAGAGGUUGCGAAGUAUUCUUGGCAGUGGCAUGUCAAAUAAGAUGUGGGAAAGCCUUGUUGAGCAUGCAAAGACUUGUGUCUUAGGUGGAAAGCAUUAUAUUUAUUAUGUGAAUGAUUCAAGAAAUGUCGGUGCAAUAUUCAAUAACAUAUAUGAGUUCACUGGCUUGAUUGCUGAUGAUCAGUUCAUUUCAGCUGAAAAUCUCACGGACAACCAGAAGGUCUAUGCUGACACGUUGGUAAAGAAAGCAUAUGAGGAUUGGAUGCAUGCUGUAGAAUAUGAUGGUAAGGCACUUAUUGGCUUCAAGCAGAAAAAGAAAUCUGUCACGACCAGAAGUGAUACCGCAUCAGCUUCAACAAGUAAGCCUGCUUUGUAUGGUUUCGUCAAUGCACAAAAACAGUUACUGCCAGGAAAAGCUGGCCAAACUUCAACAGACACUCCGAGUGAAGCAGCUGGAGUAAGAAGCACAUAUAAUGGAAAUCUGGCAGCAAGAAACACUGUGAGUCCUCAGAAUAACGCUGCAAACAUUACCAUGCAAUAUGAGAGGGGUGCACUGUCACCUGAAAGCCAGUUCAGUGGGUCCUCCCUUCAGACUCAAACUUCUGGAGGCUCCAAUAUUUUGGCAUUGGAACCUGCACAGCAGCAGCAACAGGGUUUUGAAUUCUCAGCAGUUGGUCAGUCCAUGCAGCCUGCAGACCUGGACCCUUUCGAUCAAUGGUCACAGCCGCAAGAGAAUCGUGCGGUUGAUGACUACUUGAUGGAGGAGAUCAGGUUGAGGAGCCAUGAGAUACUUGAGAAUGACGAAAUGCAACAGAUGCUGCGAAUUUUGAAUAUGGGUGGAGUAUCUACCAACAUGAAUGAUGAUGGCUUCACUUUUCCGCAGUACAUGCAGUCACCUUCCCCGAACUUCAACUUUGAGGUUGACCGCACUCGUCCACCUGGGAAAGCUGUUGUUGGUUGGCUUAAAAUCAAGGCAGCUAUGAGGUGGGGCAUCUUCGUCAGGAAGAAAGCGGCCGAGCGAAGAGCUCAGCUCGUUGAGCUAGAUGAUGACUAG
RNAcentral lists this ribosomal RNA (1959 nucleotides) under Triticum aestivum (bread wheat). RNAcentral describes it as "partial small subunit ribosomal RNA". Lineage: Eukaryota; Viridiplantae; Streptophyta; Magnoliopsida; Poales; Poaceae. The record is from RNAcentral.